This 459-nucleotide ribosomal RNA is filed under the name uncultured bacterium. Its description in RNAcentral is "partial 16S ribosomal RNA". It matches the Rfam family "Bacterial small subunit ribosomal RNA", at positions 338 to 795 of the family's 1533-position model. The record is from RNAcentral.
CCUACGGGAGGCAGCAGUGAGGAAUAUUGGUCAAUGGUCGGGAGACUGAACCAGCCAAGCCGCGUGAGGGAGGAAGGUACAGAGUAUCGUAAACCUCUUUUGUCAGGGAACAAAGGCGGGGACGUGUCCCCGGAUGAGUGUACCUGAAGAAAAAGCAUCGGCUAACCCCGUGCCAGCAGCCGCGGUAAUACGGAGGAUGCGAGCGUUGUCCGGAGUUAGUGGGUUAAAAGGGUGCACAGGCGGUCUGUUCAGUCAGCGGUCAAAGCCCGGGGCUCAACCCCGGCCCGCCGUUGAAACUGGCAGUCUCGAGUUGGAGAGAAGUAUGCGGAAUGCGCGGUGUAGCGGUGAAAUGCAUAGAUAGCGCGCAGAACUCCGAUUGCGAAGGCAGCAUGCCGGCUCCACACUGACGCUGAGGCACGAAAGCGUGGGUAUCGAACAGGAUUAGAUACCCGAGUAGUC